Molecule: ribosomal RNA, 494 nt
Filed under: uncultured bacterium
Lineage: Bacteria
Description: bacterial SSU rRNA
Rfam family: Bacterial small subunit ribosomal RNA
Source: RNAcentral
GAGCGAUGAAGGCCUUCGGGUCGUAAAGCUCUGUCCUCAAGGAAGAUAAUGACGGUACUUGAGGAGGAAGCCCCGGCUAACUACGUGCCAGCAGCCGCGGUAAUACGUAGGGGGCUAGCGUUAUCCGGAUUUACUGGGCGUAAAGGGUGCGUAGGCGGUCUUUCAAGUCAGGAGUGAAAGGCUACGGCUCAACCGUAGUAAGCUCUUGAAACUGGGAGACUUGAGUGCAGGAGAGGAGAGUGGAAUUCCUAGUGUAGCGGUGAAAUGCGUAGAUAUUAGGAGGAACACCAGUAGCGAAGGCGGCUCUCUGGACUGUAACUGACGCUGAGGCACGAAAGCGUGGGGAGCGAACAGGAUUAGAUACCCUGGUAGUCCACGCCGUAAACGAUGAGUACUAGGUGUCGGGGGUUACCCCCCUCGGUGCCGCAGCUAACGCAUUAAGUACUCCGCCUGGGGAGUACGCUCGCAAGAGUGAAACUCAAAUGAAUUGACGG